UAGGGAAUCUUCGGCAAUGGGGGCAACCCUGACCGAGCAACGCCGCGUGAGUGAAGAAGGUUUUCGGAUCGUAAAACUCUGUUGUUAGAGAAGAACGUUAAGUAGAGUGGAAAAUUACUUAAGUGACGGUAUCUAACCAGAAAGGGACGGCUAACUACGUGCCAGCAGCCGCGGUAAUACGUAGGUCCCAAGCGUUGUCCGGAUUUAUUGGGCGUAAAGCGAGCGCAGGUGGUUUCUUAAGUCUGAUGUAAAAGGCAGUGGCUCAACCAUUGUGUGCAUUGGAAACUGGGAGACUUGAGUGCAGGAGAGGAGAGUGGAAUUCCAUGUGUAGCGGUGAAAUGCGUAGAUAUAUGGAGGAACACCGGAGGCGAAAGCGGCUCUCUGGCCUGUAACUGACACU
Molecule: ribosomal RNA, 400 nt
Filed under: uncultured bacterium
Lineage: Bacteria
Description: bacterial SSU rRNA
Rfam family: Bacterial small subunit ribosomal RNA
Source: RNAcentral